RNAcentral lists this long non-coding RNA (1189 nucleotides) under Rattus norvegicus (Norway rat). RNAcentral's name for it is "long non-coding RNA NONRATT013087". The record is from RNAcentral. Lineage: Eukaryota; Metazoa; Chordata; Mammalia; Rodentia; Muridae.
UGCCCAUACAUUGUACUAAAAUUCAGUUUUAAAUUUUUUUUCUGGUAUUCUAAGUUCAUUAUCUCUCUUUCUUCUCUAGGUUUCCUUUGGCUUGUAGUCGUGUGGUUUCAAUCUCUUACAUAAGAACCUGAGUUUCUGUCUUUUCCACCUGUUAUCCUUUAAUAAUUUGGAUGCUUGUUUGGUAUCUUCAAGAUAUUUGGAAUGUGCCUCCUAUGUUUUCAAUAUCGCCACUGCAACACUCUGUUGAAUUCACUUGGAUUUUCCAGACUAGCAAUAUGUAAUAUAAAAAUAAUAAAAUUUCUACUUUUGUGAUAGGUUUUUGAAUUCCAGUUGGCUUCAGAGGACAUGAAAGCCCUGGAUGGCUUGAACAGAAAUUUCAGAUACAACAAUGCAAAAUAUUUUGAUGACCAUCCCAAUCAUCCAUUUACUGAUGAAUAGUAACAUGGUGGACUUUGUCAGCAUUUCUAUCGGAAGAUCUGUUUAUGCAUUGUGAUUUGAAAGAUAUCUUGGAUACUGGUGACUGAACGCAUCAGACCACUGUUUCUGUUAAUUCACAGUCAGCUGGAGCAAUGUCCACAGUGCUAUGAGGGAAGCCAUGUUUUUGUCACACUCUGAAAUGGAACAUCACGUUGCUUUUCCUUGUGUUUUUAAAUAUUCAUUUAUUUUGCUUUCCAUAUAUGAAUAUUUUCCCUACAUGUAUGUGUAUCUCAUGAAUGUCUAUGUCCAUGCAGGGUUGAAGAGUGUUGCAGGUCACUUGGAACCGGAGUUACAUUGAUUAUGGAGUUACCAUGUGGGUGCUGGGAGCCAAACCUAGGUCUUCUGUGAGACUAGCAAGUGCCUUUGAAUGCUGAGCCAUCUCAUUAGGUCCAACCCUAAAGAUCCUUGCCUGCCACUAUUUCUGUGAUCUCAAUGUUUUGUUUUCUCCUGACUUCUGACACCAAGCUGAUUUGCUAGAAGUCUUGGGCAUGAAGUGGGUGUUGAGGACAGUUAUUGCAAAGGGAUUUCUGGGUGGGAGUUGAAAGAACGUUCAACAUUCAGGGAAUUAAUUGUUCGAGGUUAUUGAUUAGUCAAUAUUCCCCAUAUUCUUUGAGGAAGAAGAAAGUACUCCAUAGAUUUUCCCUUUUUCUUAGUUUUGAGGUAGGGCACCUGUGGCAGGAGUGACCAAGAGACCCAGGGUUCUCUCCAACAG